AUGAAGCUAAUGUCUGUUAUGCUUUUAAUGUUUUUGUGUCUUUCGGUUGUAACAUGCAACGCAACAAAAGAUAUUUUCAUAUUGGCGGGACAAAGCAACAUGGCUGGUCGAGGAGGUGUUUUGAAUGGAAAAUGGGAUGGUGAUGUUCCACAAGAGUGUAAGCCAAGCCCAUCAGUUUUGAGACUGAGUUCAAAUCUUAAAUGGGAAGAAGCCCGUGAGCCGCUUCAUGAAGAUAUCGAUGUGGAAAAGACUUGUGGUGUUGGCCUGGGCUUGCGUUUGCGAACGAGGUAG
Non-coding RNA from Vicia faba (fava bean), 291 nucleotides. The record is from the annotation of a GenBank genome assembly. NCBI's taxonomy places the organism in Eukaryota, Viridiplantae, Streptophyta, Magnoliopsida, Fabales, Fabaceae.